Octopus bimaculoides (California two-spot octopus) is the source of this 793-nucleotide long non-coding RNA. The record is from RefSeq and is a predicted model, not a curated record. NCBI's taxonomy places the organism in Eukaryota, Metazoa, Mollusca, Cephalopoda, Octopoda, Octopodidae.
UUGACGCAAACGCGACACAAAUAGUAAAACAAAAUCAGUAGAAUAUGCACGUGUGUAUGUAUACACACAUACGGACACAUACACACGCACACACACAUACACAUACAUACACACACAUAUACACAAACACGUGUGUGUAUGUGUGUGUGUCUGUCUGUGUUUGUAUUCAAAUAUAUUUGCGUCACUUUCAGCAUUAUGACAUCGGCAACGUAAUAUUCCGUUAUUUCUAAGAAGACGUUAUUCGAAUCAGAAUAAAAAACGCUAACUGUGCAAAUAUGCAUAUACUUUGUUCUAGUUCAAGCUAGGAAGAUACAAGAGCGAAACUUUCCACAAUAACUUGCCUAGUAAAAUCUAACGAAGUCAGUCAGCUCAGAACCUAUGACAUUGAAAACUGUAAUUUUCCAGAAGAUUUUCGUCGAAGCAGAGACGGUGUGCCUUUUAUGAAAUCAGAGAUUUUCAAAGGUGAAUCAAAAUAUAAACACUUUGCAUUAUGGUAUCCAGAAAUAUAGAGAACCCUUCUAUUAGAGCUGGUGCAGGAAAAUGCGGAAGAAAGAGAUCAAGAAAACCAAGAUCCAGAAUGACAUAUUGCGUGGGAUGUUGUAGAAAAACGCCGACUUAUAAUUCCAAAGUUGUGAGGUUACAGAAUGGGGUUUGCGCACUGAAAGGAGGCUGCUCUAUAUGCACGUCGUUAAAAUAUAAAUUUGUUUCACCGAAGUUUGCAAGGAAGUGGAGGACGAUAUAAAUGAAUCCAUGUUGAAAUAUUUUUCGAUGAAUAAAGUAAAUCGACAUGCAA